Molecule: ribosomal RNA, 384 nt
Filed under: uncultured bacterium
Lineage: Bacteria
Description: bacterial SSU rRNA
Rfam family: Bacterial small subunit ribosomal RNA
Source: RNAcentral
AAUGAACGUUGGCGGCGUGGAUUAGGCAUGCAAGUCGAGCGAGAAUCCCGGCUUGCCGGGAGGACAGCGGCGCAAGGGACAGUAAUGUGUAGAUUAUCUGCCCUCGGGUCCGGGAUAGCCGCGGGAAACUGCGGGUAAUACCGGAUGACAUCUCCGGAUCAAAGGUGUGAUUCCGCCCGAGGAUGAGUCUACAUCCUAUUAGCUUGUUGGCAGGGUAAUGGCCUACCAAGGCGAUGAUGGGUAGCGGGUGUGAGAGCACGACCCGCGUCAUUGGGACUGAGACACUGCCCAGACACCUACGGGUGGCUGCAGUCGAGAAUCUUCGGCAAUGGGCGCAAGCCUGACCGAGCGACGCCGCGUGUGGGAUGAAGGCCUCGGUUGUAA